GGAUGUUCCUAUGCAUGGACACCUCCACCUCCAGGUGACAUCCAGGAUUAAAACAAUCUGAAGACACCCAACCAGUCACUCCUACAGCAAGUAAAAUGACUGCUGGUUGAGCUACAAUAUUUGGACUGCCUAGUCUGCAGGACAUUUCAACUGAGUGACUUCCCAGCUGUGAAGACUUCAGUAUUGAUGCAUCCAGUCAAUAGCAGGGAACUUGAGGGGAAAAAUAAAGUAGCACAGACAUAGACACUGGAAAAAGCAACACCUCCUGAAUUACCACCACCACUUCCCAGGGAGGUAGUGGUUGGAUCUGUCAGUAGUCUGCCAACUACUGACUCAGCCUGUCCCCAUUUUUAUGUCCAAGACCUAAUAAGAUCAAAUUGAAAUUGCUUGCAUUGGGGUAGCAUAUAGAGUUUCAUACAGGAUCACCAUCUUCUUAAAAUCAGUGCACUUAGUAUAAUCAUAACACACCCUGUUAGUAGAGGUUGACAGUCAAGCUGGGUUAUGAUUUAGCAACAGGUUCGGAGUUGACAUGGCAUGGCUGCAUUACACAGGAGAUUGGUAGCAGAGCUGGAAAGAGGAAUAAAGGUUGUUUGAAGCUCAGUUUCUCCCUUCACAUCUGGAUCACUAGCUUCUGACUGACUGCCAGAUCUCUCCAGAAUGAUAACAUUCACCAA
Cygnus olor (mute swan) is the source of this 674-nucleotide long non-coding RNA. RefSeq lists it as uncharacterized. The record is from RefSeq and is a predicted model, not a curated record. The transcript has 2 exons. NCBI's taxonomy places the organism in Eukaryota, Metazoa, Chordata, Aves, Anseriformes, Anatidae.